RNAcentral lists this ribosomal RNA (82 nucleotides) under Paraburkholderia silvatlantica. The record is from RNAcentral. Lineage: Bacteria; Pseudomonadati; Pseudomonadota; Betaproteobacteria; Burkholderiales; Burkholderiaceae.
UCCCAUCCCGAACAGGACCGUGAAACGACUCCACGCCGAUGAUAGUGCGGAUUGCCCGUGUGAAAGUAGGUAAUCGUCAGGC